ACUGUCCAGAAACUACUCCUGCAGCCCAAUAUAAAUAAGUGGGCAGGCAUAUGGGACUCAGGCUGCUCAAACUACACCCCCAAGAAGUCACACAUUGGUCACGCCAACCUUUAGAUCGAACGGAGUGUGAGGAAGUGUGAUUCACUGCUCUUCGCCAUCUAAUCUUCUUCGUCAAGGGCAAGGUAUGGGUUGUGAAUGAAUAUUAAAAUCUUCUCUACGAUCUCAUCAACCAUUGCUUCAUCUUUGUUAUUAGACAACCCCGUCUGAAUACUGUAUCAGUAGCAGUUGGAGAAGUACUGAAUGAUACACAUCUUACAUAGCUGACUCCCAACAUCCUGGAUUAUUUAUAUCUAAUCUGACUCCAGUUUUUAUGCAUUUCAUAGCUUAUUUCCCGUCUGAAUACUGUAUCAGUAGCAGUUGGAAAAGUACUGACUGAUACAAACUUUACAUAGCUGACUCCCAACAUCCUGGAUUAUUUAUAUCUAAUCUGACUGCAUUUUUUAUGCAUUUCAUAGUUUAUAUUUCAUCUAACCAGUCUGCAUUUUGAAUGCAUUAUUUUGUAGCCAAGUCCAACAGAACUUGCUCCGGUGGCACGCCAAUUCCUCAUACAAGUAUAUUUAUACGCGAGCCAAUAGAUAUGACAAGUUCAAGUCAGUCGUCUUUGGAUGAUGAAGUGACAAAAGAAUCAUCUACGAUUUUUCCUACUAAUGGCAUGCUCAUAUCAACUGAGGGCUUGGAGCGAGGAGAAAGCUCAAAAGGACGAAAGCGUGUACGUGAAGCAAUAAGAUAUGCUAGCCGUACACCAGAACAAAUCCAAGCAAGGCGAGAACGUGUUAGAGCACGUCGGCAAAAUUUAACACCUGCUGAGAGGGAAAAGAUUAAUGCACAAAGAAGAGA
Triticum aestivum (bread wheat) is the source of this 897-nucleotide long non-coding RNA. RefSeq lists it as uncharacterized. The record is from RefSeq and is a predicted model, not a curated record. NCBI's taxonomy places the organism in Eukaryota, Viridiplantae, Streptophyta, Magnoliopsida, Poales, Poaceae. The transcript is spliced from 2 exons.